This 1598-nucleotide long non-coding RNA is filed under the name Homo sapiens (human). RNAcentral describes it as "HSALNT0190953". The record is from RNAcentral. Lineage: Eukaryota; Metazoa; Chordata; Mammalia; Primates; Hominidae.
GUGUGUUCUCCCACAUGAGUUCUUCAGCAUGGCAGCUUCAAUGUAGACUGACUUCUAACAUGUCAGCUCAAAGCUCCCAAGGCACAUGUCAGAGAGAAGAAAAAGGCAGAAACCGCAUCACUUGUGAACCUAGCAUGGAGAGUCAUGCAGUGUCACAUCUACUGAAUUCUACUAGUUAGAAUCAAGUGGGUAAGGCUGGCCUAUAUUCAAGGGAGGGUGAAUUAGACUUUGCUGGGAGGAGUGUCAAAGAAUUUGUGGCCUUGUAUUAAACCUACCACAAAGGGAUUUAUUUUUCAUGUAUGAUGUCUAAAGGGAAGCAGUACUGUAUAAUAUGGGGCUCCAUGAUCUAAUAAAAACCAAGGGUUCAUCUGUUCAUCUAUAAUUCUGCUCUACCAUUUUUAGAUUGGCAUAUUGUCUCAAAGUUGCAAGCUGACUGCUAUAGAUCCAGACAUUGUAGCCAUGUUCAAGACCAAGAGGGGUGGAAAGAAUAGUGCCUGCAGUUCUGGCCUCUUUUAUUAGGAAAUCAAAAGCCGUUCCCAAAACCCACCUCAGCAGAAUUCUGCUUAUGCCACAUUGGCCAGAACUGUUACAAGGCCACCCCUUGCUUCAAGGGAGGUUAGAGCAGUGAAUAUUCAGCUUCUCCUUUCUCUACUGUAGAGGUCAGCGAGGAUGAAGAGAGCCAGAAAUGGGCAUUGGGUCAGUCAAGCCAUGCUUCUGACCUGCAAAGCCUCCAUAUCAGACCCAAAAAUUCACAAGUAAGUAAGUAAGAGCUUCAAAGAACUUCUCUCCCUCAGCCAAGGUUAACUAUAAAAUGACCCAAAUAUGCUUAACAGACCAAAAAAAAAAUUGGCUAAUGAAUGGAACUAUUUACAACUGUAUUUUUGCAAAUAGAAUCAAAAGCUAGAUAUUGAAUUAAAUGAAUUGUUUCUACAGUUUAAACAGGAAGCAGAAUGGGUUUCCCACAGAGCCAUUUGCCGGCAAGAUAGGAGGGACAAGGAAGAGGAGAGACCACUGACUUGUGAUAAAAUGUGAAAGCUGCCCUGCAGAUUACCUUGGCUUCAGAGGCCUGGGGCCUAAAAAUAAUUUGGGGGCAGGGCAAAGAGGAACUCUUCACUUGUAAACCUAACCCAAAUUCUAUAUCUUAUUUUAUAGAACAUUCCUUCUUUUAACCUUGUUACUCACUAGUGAAUGGAAACAGGAAAAACAUUGUGAGUUGAUGGAUUUUAUCUAACCCAUCUGCAACGAUUAUUCAAAUGUAUGGGAAAAAGAAGUCAUCUGUCUUCAAAUCACGAAGAAAGUCCUCAUCAGGAACCAAAUCAUCUGCCACCUUGCUCUUGGACUUCCCAGGCUCUAGAACUAUGAGAAAUAAAUUUUUUGCUGGAUGAAGUGGCUCAUGCCUGUAAUCCCAAAUUUUUCAGAGGCCAAGGCAGUAGGAUCACUUGGGUCCAGGAGUUCAAGACAAGCCUGGGCAACAAAGUGAGACUCUGUCUCUCCAAAAGUCAAAAACUUAGCCAGGCAUGGUAGCAUGAGCCUGUGGUUCCAGCCUUACAAGAGGCUGAGGCAGGAGGAUUGCUUGAGCCAAAAAGAAGAGGCUGCAA